This 437-nucleotide ribosomal RNA is filed under the name uncultured bacterium. RNAcentral's name for it is "bacterial SSU rRNA". It matches the Rfam family "Bacterial small subunit ribosomal RNA", at positions 355 to 786 of the family's 1533-position model. The record is from RNAcentral.
UGGGGAAUCUUGCGCAAUGGGCGAAAGCCUGACGCAGCGACGCCGCGUGCGGGAAGAAGGCCUUCGGGUUGUAAACCGCUUUCAGGAGGGACGAAGCCACUCGGGUUAAUAGCCCAGAGGGUGACGGUACCUCCAGAAGAAGCCCCGGCUAACUACGUGCCAGCAGCCGCGGUAAUACGUAGGGUGCGAGCGUUGUCCGGAAUUAUUGGGCGUAAAGAGCUCGUAGGCGGUUUGUCGCGUCUGCCGUGAAAACCGGGGGCUUAACCCUCGGCCUGCGGUGGAUACGGACAGACUUGAGUUCGGUAGGGGAGACUGGAAUUCCUGGUGUAGCGGUGAAAUGCGCAGAUAUCAGGAGGAACACCGGUGGCGAAGGCAGGUCUCUGGGCCAUUACUGACACUGAGAAGCGAAAGCAUGGGAGCGAACAGGAUUAGAUACC